GAAGGCAGCCUCNUGGGAUAACACUGACGCUCAUGCACGAAAGCGUGGGGAGCAAACAGGAUUAGAUACCCUGNUAGUCCACGCCCUAAACGAUGUCUACUAGUUGUCGGGGAUUAAUUUCCUUGGUAACGCAGCUAACGCGUGAAGUAGACCGCCUGGGGAGUACGGUCGCAAGAUUAAAACUCAAAGGAAUUGACGGGGACCCGCACAAGCGGUGGAUGAUGUGGAUUAAUUCGAUGCAACGCGAAAAACCUUACCUACGCUUGACAUGUCCGGAACCCUGAAGAGAUUUGGGGGUGCUCGAAAGAGANNNNNAANACAGGUGCUGCAUGGCUGUCGUCAGCUCGUGUCGUGAGAUGUUNNNNNNNNNNNNNNNACGAGCGCAACCCUUAUCAUUAGUUGCUACGCAAGGGCACUCUAAUGAGACUGCCGGUGACAAACCGGAGGAAGGUGGGGAUGACGUCAAGUCCUCAUGGCCCUUAUGUGUAGGGCUUCACACGUCAUACAAUGGUCGGUACAGAGGGUUGCGAAGCCGCGAGGUGGAGCCAAUCCCAAAAAACCGAUCGUAGUCCGGAUUGCAGUCUG
This 585-nucleotide ribosomal RNA is filed under the name uncultured bacterium. RNAcentral describes it as "partial 16S ribosomal RNA". It matches the Rfam family "Bacterial small subunit ribosomal RNA", at positions 717 to 1307 of the family's 1533-position model. The record is from RNAcentral.